RNAcentral lists this transfer RNA (73 nucleotides) under Ornithorhynchus anatinus (platypus). It matches the Rfam family "tRNA". From Rfam's summary of the family: Transfer RNA (tRNA) molecules are approximately 80 nucleotides in length. Lineage: Eukaryota; Metazoa; Chordata; Mammalia; Monotremata; Ornithorhynchidae. The record is from Rfam by way of RNAcentral.
AGCAGCAGGGCCUAAUGGAUAGAGCACCUGGCUGGGGGUCAGAAGGGCCUGGGUUCUAAUCCCAGCUCUGCCA